This 517-nucleotide ribosomal RNA is filed under the name uncultured bacterium. Its description in RNAcentral is "bacterial SSU rRNA". It matches the Rfam family "Bacterial small subunit ribosomal RNA", at positions 9 to 526 of the family's 1533-position model. The record is from RNAcentral.
GAGUUUGAUCCUGGCUCAGGAUGAACGCUGGCGGCGUGCUUAACACAUGCAAGUCGAACGAAGCACCUUGAUUUGAUUCUUCGGAUGAAGAUCUUGGUGACUGAGUGGCGGACGGGUGAGUAACGCGUGGGUAACCUGCCUCAUACAGGGGGAUAACAGUUAGAAAUGACUGCUAAUACCGCAUAAGACCACAGCACCGCAUGGUGCAGGGGUAAAAACUCCGGUGGUAUGAGAUGGACCCGCGUCUGAUUAGGUAGUUGGUGGGGUAACGGCCUACCAAGCCGACGAUCAGUAGCCGACCUGAGAGGGUGACCGGCCACAUUGGGACUGAGAUACGGCCCAGACUCCUACGGGAAGCAGCAGUCGGGAAUAUUGCGCAAUGGAGGAAACUCUGACGCAGUGACGCCGCGUAUAGGAAGAAGGUUUUCGGAUUGUAAACUAUUUUAGACAGGGAAGAAAUUGACAGUACCUGUAGAAUAAGCUCCGGCUAACUACGUGCCAGCCGCCGCGGUAAUUC